GGAGGAGGAGGAGGCCUAGGUGUCAUCUUCUAUUCACACAGUAAAAAAAAAGGCCAUCAAUCCAACUCAAGGAAACCAAGAUAAAUACCUAUAUGGGGCUAAGAACAAACAAAUACAAGCAAUGCACACUCACAACCUACAAGUUCUUUAAGGAAGAAACUACUCUUAUACCAUAAAUGUGACAUCCCAAAUAUAUAAUACUACAAAUCAUAUAAUAUAGGAGUCAUCAUCAUAAUUAGAGAGAACAGUUAGAAUUAGACCUCCAAAUAGGUCUCAGGUUUAUAGUCAUCCAAGAGAUCAUUAGAAUUUAAAACUUUAAAGACAAAGAAUUACUUCAAAAUGAAAUAAAUU
This 351-nucleotide long non-coding RNA is filed under the name Vigna radiata. RNAcentral's name for it is "long non-coding RNA (VRAD_LNC000130)". The record is from RNAcentral. Lineage: Eukaryota; Viridiplantae; Streptophyta; Magnoliopsida; Fabales; Fabaceae.